AGGGUUUGAUCAUGGCUCAGGACGAACGCUGGCGGCAUGCCUAACACAUGCAAGUCGAACGAGAAAGUUCCUUCGGGAGCAAUUAAAGUGGCGCACGGGUGAGUAACGCGUAGACAAUCUGCCCUUCAGUCUGGGACAACUUUUCGAAAGGAGAGCUAAUACCGGAUAACAAUGCAUGACACAAGUUGUAUAUUUGAAAGCUUUAUGUGCUGAAGGAGGGGUCUGCGUCCCAUUAGCUAGUUGGUAGGGUAAAGGCUUACCAAGGCAACGAUGGGUAGCGGGUUUGAGAGGACGACCCGCCACACUGGAACUGAGACACGGUCCAGACUCCUACGGGAGGCAGCAGUGGGGAAUAUUGCACAAUGGAGGAAACUCUGAUGCAGCAAUGUCGCGUGAGUGAAGAAGGCCCUUGGGUCGUAAAGCUCUUUUAUGGGGGAAGAUGAUGACGGUACCCCAAGAAUAAGCACCGGCUAACUAUGUGCCAGCAGCCGCGGUAAUACAUAGGGUGCGAGCGUUGUUCGGAAUUACUGGGCGUAAAGGGCGCGCAGGCGGAAUAGUAAGUCGGAGGUGAAAGCCCGGGGCUCAACCCCGGAGGGUCUUUCGAAACUACUAAUCUAGAGAGGGUCAGGGGCCGGCAGAAUUCCUGGUGUAGAGGUGAAAUUCGUAGAUAUCAGGAGGAAUACCGGUGGCGAAGGC
RNAcentral lists this ribosomal RNA (696 nucleotides) under uncultured bacterium. Its description in RNAcentral is "bacterial SSU rRNA". It matches the Rfam family "Bacterial small subunit ribosomal RNA", at positions 8 to 722 of the family's 1533-position model. The record is from RNAcentral.